UGGAUGGAUGGACAAAAUUUUCGUCAGUUACAAGGGGUCCCGGCUUUACGCCAGGGCUUUGUUCCCACGGCAGUGACAUAAUUCAAUAUGUGCACAUCCCGAAAUGUGUGGUUGUAUAUCAAAGAGCAACGUCGUAAUAAAUAUUUAUGAGAAACAUUUCAAGGCAGCACAAACAAACGAAAAACACUAAGUACAGCAAUUAGUGAGCAUGUCAUACCACAUAUUUACUACACUACACACUGUUUUGGACCCUUAAAAUGUCACGACAAAGGUCUGUUGAAAACCGAAGACUCCAACUGUAAAUCAUAAAUGUGGAAAAAAAUCCCAUCCAGGCUCCAAUUGUCACUGGAAGAGGCUGACAUUUAAAGACACAUUUUCAAUAUUCGUUACUAGAAGUUGUUGAUCGACAGUUUUUGCUUCGACUCGGGAUCCCAAGCUUGAGAUACGAGCGCUGGUGGCUCCACUUCCCUUCACAUCAAGGACCAAUUUGGCAGAUAUAAUUCAUAAAUACUCUUCUAAAGAGAUUUCAAGCUGUUGAUUGCUAUUAGCAGUUGGAAUUUGCUCUCAAACCAUGAAACAGACAUUUACACAUUCAUUAGAAACAUUCGUGCAGCCCCCACCAAGUUUACGAGGGAAAACACCGCAGUCACGCGGGCUAACAGUUAACAAACAAGUUACGCGCGCAACAAAAACAUCAGGCAAUGGUAUUUUAAAACAAUUUCAACGGGUGGACAAGAGAGCUAGUAGGCCGGAGAGGUUACAAAGACAUCGUGACAAAAAGCAUACUGCAGAAGAUGCAAGACAUUCAUCUUCAUGAAAUGUGGCAGAUUAGCUUUAAGUCGCUGAAGGAACUUCAAGUUAUAUGAUGGUAGAAAUAUUGUGACUGUGUUUAUACAUAAUACACAAAACACCGUUUUCUGGAUUUUCCUGAAAAGUGAUGGUUUGGAUUCUGCCCGACACCUGUGAUGGAUAGUAUAAGUCUUUCCCAGAUGAAAUGGGAAAAAAUAUGGAGUAAAAAUAUUCCUGCCUGGAAUAUACGGAUAAUUGGAAAGUCGGAGUGAAUGAAGUGGUACUCGAGCACGAGACAGGUCGAACUUGGGAAGUCGCGAAGCCAAGCCGGUGGAAGUGGGAGCGUUGCGCUGGCGACAGCUAAAGUGCGAGAAGAAGAUCAGCUGCCGCCGCUCCGGCCUGAAUGCGUCGAUGCAUUCGGGUCAGGGGAAGGCUGCGUUGCGUAGGCGCCACUCCCACUGGAGUCGACGCCAUCGGGCCGAGGAUGCUUCCUCGCACUCCAUGGGCGGCCCCCAAGGCACAAUCACAUUGCUUGGCUGCUUUCUGACAAUUCUGAUCCCGGAGAACACGUUUGACUUUUUCUUUUUUAGCCUUUGCCAUACAUUUAAUUGACUAAGACUCACUUGAAAGACUAUUUGAACUUGAUCUUUUUCUAACCCCCCCAUGGGAAAUGUUGGCAUUUCUAGACCGGAGCAUACGGCCGAGCAGCUCCCCAUGUGUUAUCAUCUCAGGCUUGGUGUCUUCAGCAGGCCCCCCGACACCCACGUCCUGCUGCGUGAACUCCAAGCCACCUGUCGCCCCAUCUGGCAAGGCCGAAGCCGGGCACAUGUCAACAGCGGGCACGAGCCCUUAAGACCUCCCCCGGGGCUUCCAACAUACUCCCAUUUGGUGCCUUGCGACUUUCCAGAGCGUAGAGCGACUUCCGCCCGCAGACACUCCCGGAUAAGCGGCGUACAAAACGGAUGGAUGUACAUUACAAAUAAAGACGGAAUCCAGGAUGAUGGCAGGGAAACGUUGACCUCCUUCAGCCAAAAGGGAGUACACGUCCCUCAAAACACUCCGGUCGGGACACGAGGAGACGAUGGAGGCCAGCUGAGGGGACAGCGCGUCCUGCAGAGCCUU
Long non-coding RNA from Syngnathoides biaculeatus (alligator pipefish), 1911 nucleotides. RefSeq lists it as uncharacterized. The record is from RefSeq and is a predicted model, not a curated record. Lineage: Eukaryota; Metazoa; Chordata; Actinopteri; Syngnathiformes; Syngnathidae. The transcript is spliced from 3 exons.